CCUACGGGAGGCAGCAGUAGGGAAUUUUCGUCCAUGGGCUCAAGCCUGAACGAGCGAUGCCGCGUGAGUGAAGAAGGCCUUCGGGUCGUAAAGCUCUGUUGCGGGGGAAAAAAGGCAGCAUCAGGAAAUGGGUGCUGACUGAUGGUGCCCCGCCAGCAAGUCACGGCUAACUACGUGCCCGCAGCCGCGGUAAUACGUAGGUGGCGAGCGUUAUCCGGAAGGAUUGGGCGUAAAGGGUGUGCAGGCGGUCCUGCAAGUCUGGAGUGAAACGCAGCAGCUCAACUCAUGAAUGGCUUUGGAAACUGGAGGACUGGAGAGCAGGAGAGGGCGGUGGAACUCCAUGUGUAGCGGUAAAAUGCGUAGAUAUAUGGAAGAACACCAGUGGCGAAGGCGGCCGCCUGGCCUGUUGCUGACGCUGAGGCACGAAAGCGUGGGGAGCAAAUAGGAUUAGAUACCCCUGUAGUC
Molecule: ribosomal RNA, 465 nt
Filed under: uncultured bacterium
Lineage: Bacteria
Description: partial 16S ribosomal RNA
Rfam family: Bacterial small subunit ribosomal RNA
Source: RNAcentral